Long non-coding RNA from Siniperca chuatsi (mandarin fish), 3744 nucleotides. RefSeq lists it as uncharacterized. NCBI's taxonomy places the organism in Eukaryota, Metazoa, Chordata, Actinopteri, Centrarchiformes, Sinipercidae. The transcript has 4 exons. The record is from RefSeq and is a predicted model, not a curated record.
GUGAGCAGGGUCCCAUACAAAGUACCUUUGAAGAACCUAACAUUAUCAUGGUUUUUGGUUUUUGUUCUGUUAUUUCCUGUUUUAUUUUGUAAUAUUCUCCCUCUCUCUUGUGUAGUUUUGCGUCCUGUCUUUGAUUGCUGUGAUUGUUCUCACCUCUGUCAUUUGGUUUCACCUGUGUCUAGUUAUCUCCCCUACCUGGGUGUAUUUAGGUCUGUGUCUUUCAAGUGUUUAGUGUCAGAUCCUACUUGUACCAUGUACCCUGUGUUAGUUCCCCGGUCCUGCCUUGACCGGUUUUCCCAGUCUCUCUGUGAUUCUCCCUGUUUUACUGUGUUAACUUGCUCCCUGGACUCUCUUUUGGACUAUUCUUUGUUUGGACUUUUGUUAUUCUUGUUGGACUUUUUCCUGAACUUCUCAGCUGCCCUUAGUAGUUUUGUGUUCCUCCAUAGAUUUGUCAUCACAACAAAUGUCCCAUCAUAAGUGGAAAAGUGAGGCCCUGUUCUAAUGUGCAAGAUGUGAUCCUCUGCAUUCAAGCUCUUCAAGUCACAGGAGGGGAGAAUGAUUAAUAAUGACUUCAAGGAUGAGGGCACAAGAGACUGGAAACCUGCAGUGGCUCCAGUAGAAGUGAAGCAACAAUUAGCCUCAUUGCCUCAGCUGCUAAGUGCAACUGACUGAAAGGUGUUAACACAAGAAGGCAGAGAGAGAUGUGCAGUGGGAAUAUGAGCUCUGACUUGACAGCCAAGAGAACCAGUGAAGCAAGCAAAGAGUGGCUCACUUAGCAGCAGCUUACUAAAAAAUAGCUACCACCACAUGAAGGAGUCAAGGUCAAACUUUUUGGAUGUAGAUGAUUUUGUGAAAGUUUGUGUUCUUUUUUUGUUGAGUCUUCUCUUAAAGACGGACAGCACAGGAUAAACCCUGGUCAUAAGACUAAAGAGUCUGGAAAUCUUCUAACAUCAGCUGAAAAAGUGUUGUAGGUUGAGUGUCUGGGGUUGAAAGUAUUCAGUACAUGUCCUUUUGCAUUUAGCAUGGAUUUAUUUAUAAGACCUUUUGAAAAUGACUUCUGAGACUUUUACAGUGACAUCUGAUUGAUGCUUGAUUUGAAAAUUGGUUAAGAAGAGAGGGGAGGGAAAAAAGCAAAGAAAGAAUAAGAGGGGAGGAUAAAUUUAGUUAUAAAUGUUACAUUGUGGCAUUUAUGAAUGUAUAAAUUAAAUGUUUCACAAAAUUGAAUAGAUUUAAUUUAUAUUUUUGCAGUCACAAUGUAAAACCCCAAAUUAUUUGCAUGUACUGUAUAUUAUGCAGAGACCAACUUUGGGGCAGGAAGCCGAAUAUUUUUGGGUUGGGUUGACUCAAAUAACACAGACACUGGUAACAUACCAUCUGUGUGUGGAAUGCUCCUCACGUCUGCCCUCAAUUCGGGUCUGUAUAAAGGAUAGACACUAAUAAUUAUUCUAAAACAAAUUCACAACAAUGCUAAAGGUGUGUUAGUUAUUAAAAUAACCUUGAAGACCCUGUCUAGCCUAAAUAAUAGAGCCCCUACAGGUAGUAAUGUAUUUAAAUAAACCUUUCAAAAACCUGAGAAAUUAUAUAAAUCUUCAAAAUCAUCACAUGCUGUAUGUUAUGCCUCUAUUUACAUAUUUCCCUUCAGAGAGAUUGUAUAAGAUCAUAUCAAGACCAUUGCACAUUAAUAUAUCAGAUUUUAGUAUAAUAAAGGUAGCAUCUUAGUCUACUGUUCUUAAGGGCAAAGUUAUGCUCUUUAUUUAAACAGCCUUUAGAACUUCAGUGCAGCCUUGCCACAGAAGACCAAUUGAUCUAUCUUCUAAUUAUGACCUUAAGAUGUUCUGUGUGCAGCAUCAUACCAGUAUCCAAUCAAAUCCAAUUAACACUGGUGGCCCCCUCCAGAAAACUGCAUUGUAGAGGGAUUAUACAGCUAUCUGUGCUGGUCUGAUUAAUGGCCGCAGUAAUUAAUGCUGAAGGGGUCUGUCCGAGUCCCUCAGUGUAGAGGAGCAUAUAGCAGUGAGCCAGCUGCAGUGAACAGAGCUCACGCUAACACCUGGAUCCUCUCAUGUGCGCAUAUGUUGCACACAAUAUGAGGGUUUUUUUUGUAAAGUUUUGUGCCUCAUACAUAUGGGGAUAGGCAGGAAAAUUAAAGUAUUAUAUGCAAAAGUCUGUUCCAUUUGCCCUGACUUUGUAGGUAUAACAAACAAAAAAACUAAAAGUGGGAUCCACAAAUCAAUGGCUGUAACGAAUAACGGGGUCACUGAUUCUCACUGAUUUUCUUAUUCUUUUUACUAAUAAGGCCUCAAAUGUUCCCCAGCUUUCAUCUAAACGAGGCAUUUCAGACUUCAAACUGCAUUCCCACUUGUUUUUUUUAAAAGCUAUAUUUCAGAUGAUUGAUCCAGAUAUUUUAGCCAUUAUUAACUGCUCUCUGUCUACUGGCAUUUUCCCCUCCUAUUUUAAACAUACUACUCUUUACCCCCUUUUUAAAGAAGCUCUCUCUAGAUCCCUCUGUUUUUAAGUAAUUUUAGACCCAUCUCCAAGCUGCCAUUUUUAUUGAAGAUUUUAGGAAAAAACUGUCUCCACUCAACUGACUUCUUUUAUGAAUAACAAUCAAAUCUUUGAAAAUUUUCAAUCUGGUUUCCGCUCCCUACACAGCUCUGAGACUGCUCUGGUCAGGGUCACCAAUGACCACCUGCUUGCGGCUGACACUGGCCUGUCCUCCAUUUUAAUUCUCCUUGACCUCAGCUCAGCCUUUGACACAGUGGACCAUGAUGUCUUAAUCAACCAUCUGAAGAACUAUCUACACUACUCUGUAAUGCUUAGAGAUGCCUCCUCUUCUUGUGUUCCUCUAUUUUGUGGGGUUCCCCAAGGAUCUGUUUUGGGUCUCUUCUUGUUUACCAUACACAUGCUACCCCUGGGGCAAAUCUUGCACAGACAUGACAUUGAUUUCCACGCUAAGCGGGUGACACCCAACUGUACGUCCCAAUAAAGCCUGGUACCACACAUGCAUCCUGCCUCGCUGAAAUUAAAAAUUGGAUGUCCAAAAAUGUCCUGCAAUUGAAUGACUCAAAUCAGAUGUAAUUAUAACUACCCUCAUCUCCUAAUCUCUCAUCUAGUCUGGGUGCCUUAUCUAAUAAUGUUCAAAAAGAGGUCUACAACCUAGGUGUUAGAUUUGAUGCUCAGAUGACUAAAGUGGUGCAGUCCUGCUUUUCUCAGCUGAGACAGCUAACCAAGAUCAGGUCAUUUCUUUCCUCUGCAGACUUAGAAAAAGUCAUCCAUGCUUUUAUCUCCUCCAGACUUGGCAAUUGCAAUGCACUUUAUUCUGGUAACAGCAGGCGAAACAUCCAAAGAUUGCAGCCGAUACAAAACGCUGCUGCCAGGCUUUUAACACGUACUAAGACAAGCAACCACAUUACACCGAUCCUUGCUGCCCUUCACUGGUUACCUGUAAGUUUUAGAAUUGAUUUUACUGCUUGUUUUUAUAGCCUUGAAUGAUCUGACUCCUUUGAUCUGCUAACUCUCUGAGCCUGAUCGCUGCUUGAGAUCCUCUGGCCCUACUAAUGGUUCCAAAAUCUCAACUUGUCACUAAAGGUGCCCUGGCCCCUCAGCUGUGGAACUCCCUGCCUGGAGAUCUCAAGUAGGCAAACUCAGUGUCCUCCAUUAAAUCUCUUCUUAAGACUUACUUUAAUUGUAUGACAUUUUCUUAACUGAUGACAUUUGUUGUAAUUAUUUAAAUGUAAAUGGACUGUA